RNAcentral lists this ribosomal RNA (1182 nucleotides) under Triticum aestivum (bread wheat). Its description in RNAcentral is "partial small subunit ribosomal RNA". The record is from RNAcentral. Lineage: Eukaryota; Viridiplantae; Streptophyta; Magnoliopsida; Poales; Poaceae.
AUGAGUCUGUUAGAGUAUGUAAUGGGCCUGGGCUGGCGGUAUAGCCCGUUAGUCUUAGGGUUAAUUAGAGAUAAGGGUCGCUUGCUGCAAGGCUUGAUGGCUUCUUCAAUCAUCGUCAACAGCACGGUCCAGGGUGAGACUUUUCUCUCCGGACAGAUCUUCGUGUUCGGCGGCUUUGCACUGCGGGUCAAUUCGCUUGGCCAACUGGAGCAGAUCGAUAGCAACGCCCCUGGCCACCAGGUUAGGUUCGGAAACCUGAACUACACGACCGACAUCCAUGGAGACUUGAUCUUCAACGAGUCCGGGCCUGCGCCAGGAGCGUCGGACAAUCACGAUGAGCGCGGCCUAGACCUGCUGUCGGAUAAUGCUCGGGAUAUCACCCCUGCAGUGGCCCCGGACCUAAAUCUGGAGCAGACUGCAUUGCCCAAGGACGGGUGGAUGGACCCUGCCCCGUGGGCCGCACACUCAUCGGCGGUAGAGCCGAACACAGGCCUCACCCCUAAAGAAGCCUGUGACGCCGGACCCCCGGACUCGUAUCCGGCUGUAGGUUCCAGUCCGCGCGCUCUCGAGCCCGCCGAGCCUGGUUGGGCUCCGGUAAUGGAGUUCACCUCUACGGAUAUCUUCCAGCACUCGCCCCUUGGCGACGUGCUGAACUCAUUAAAGUCUCUCUCUCUGUCAGGAGACUCAUGGCCGAACUAUGUCUGGCUCGAGUGGGAAGCAGGCGACGAAGGAAUUCGUUGCCCACCCACCACCCACUUCAUUGCCAUGGUCGAUGAUUUAACCGACGUGCUUGACUUCGACUCCAAAGACAUCGACGGUAUGGACGACGAUGCAGGGGAAGAACAGGAACCACCGCUCACGGGGUGGUGGACAACCACCUCCUCAUAUGAUAUAUAUAUGGUGGACACUCCGAAGGAAACCAAUGGCGAUGAGGCAACGGAGGAUAACCCCUCAGGGAAGAAAGCAAAGCAUGGGCAUCGCCGGCGCCGCUCCAAGCCCCGCCAUAGCAAUACUAACACAGGAGAUGAAAACAACCCGGAUGGUGCCGAAGUGGAAUACAACCCUGAUCAGCCUGCCUUCGAGCAGGCCGAGCAGGAGACGGGCAGGCCAGCCCAGACGAACAAACGACUGACGGAUAUCCGGAGGAGGACGACUACAUGCCCCAUCCAAAGACGAGGUUAG